This 406-nucleotide ribosomal RNA is filed under the name uncultured bacterium. Its description in RNAcentral is "partial 16S ribosomal RNA". It matches the Rfam family "Bacterial small subunit ribosomal RNA", at positions 29 to 526 of the family's 1533-position model. The record is from RNAcentral.
AUUGAACGCUGGCGGCAGGCUUAACACAUGCAAGUCGAGCGAGCGGCGGACGGGUGAGUAAUGUCUGGGAAACUGCCUGAUGGAGGGGGAUAACUACUGGAAACGGUAGCUAAUACCGCAUACCCUCAGAUGUGCCCAGAUGGGAGUAGCUAGUAGGUGGGGUAAUGGCUCACCACGGCGACGAUCCCUAGCUGGUCUGAGAGGAGGACCAGCCACACUGGAACUGAGAAACGGUCGAGACUCCGACGGGAGGCAGCAGUGGGGAAUAUUGCACAAUGGGCGCAAGCCUGAUGCAGCCAUGCCGCGUGUGGGAAGAAGGCCUUCGGGUUGUAAAGUACUUUCAGCGAGGAGGCGUUACUCGCAGAAGAAGCACCGGCUAACUCCGUGCCAGCAGCCGCGGUAAUAC